RNAcentral lists this ribosomal RNA (253 nucleotides) under uncultured bacterium. RNAcentral's name for it is "partial 16S ribosomal RNA". It matches the Rfam family "Bacterial small subunit ribosomal RNA", at positions 524 to 776 of the family's 1533-position model. The record is from RNAcentral.
UACGGAGGGGGCUAGCGUUGUUCGGAAUUACUGGGCGUAAAGCGCACGUAGGCGGCUUUGCAAGUUAGAGGUGAAAGCCCCGGGCUCAACCUGGGAAUGGCGCUUGGGACUGGUUUGCUUGAGUUCGGGAGAGGAGCGUGGAAUUCCCAGUGUAGAGGUGAAAUUCGUAGAUAUUGGGAAGAACACCGGUGGCGAAGGCGGCGCUCUGGACCGAGACUGACGCUGAGGCGCGAAAGCGUGGGGAGCAAACAGG